UAACGGCGAGUGAAGCGGCAACAGCUCAAAUUUGAAAUCCGGCCCCGCGCGGGGCCCGAGUUGUAAUUUGCAGAGGGCGCUUCGGGCGGGGCGCCGGUCUAAGUUCCUUGGAACAGGACGUCAUAGAGGGUGAGAAUCCCGUAUGCGGCCGGCCGCCCACCCCGGGUGAAGCCCCUUCGACGAGUCGAGUUGUUUGGGAAUGCAGCUCUAAAUGGGUGGUAAAUUUCAUCUAAAGCUAAAUAUCGGCCGGAGACCGAUAGCGCACAAGUAGAGUGAUCGAAAGAUGAAAAGCACUUUGGAAAGAGAGUUAAACAGCACGUGAAAUUGUUGAAAGGGAAGCGCUUGCCGCCAGACCUGCCCGCGGGCGUUCACCCGCCAUUCGUGGCGGGGCACUCGCCCGCGCACAGGCCAGCACGGGUUCGGGCGGCGGGAGAAAGGGCCCGGGAAUGUAGCUCCCUUCGGGGUGCCUUAUAGCCCGGGUCGCCAUGCCGCCCGCCCGGACCGAGGACCGCGCUUCGGCUAGGGUGCUGGCGUAAUGGCGGCAAGCGACCCGUCUUGAAACACGGACCAAGGAGUCUAACAUCCACGCGAGUGUUUGGGCGUCAAACCCAGGCGCGGAAUGAAAGUGAACGGAGGUGGGAUCCCCGCGAGGGGCGCACCAUCGACCGAUCCGGAUGUCUUCGGAUGGAUUUGAGUACGAGCGUGGCUGUUGGGACCCGAAAGAUGGUGAACUAUGCCUGAAUAGGGUGAAGCCAGAGGAAACUCUGGUGGAGGCUCGCAGCGGUUCUGACGUGCAAAUCGAUCGUCAAAUUUGGGCAUAGGGGCGAAAGACUAAUCGAACC
RNAcentral lists this ribosomal RNA (842 nucleotides) under Leptogium teretiusculum. RNAcentral's name for it is "LSU rRNA". It matches the Rfam family "Eukaryotic large subunit ribosomal RNA", at positions 84 to 941 of the family's 3401-position model. Lineage: Eukaryota; Fungi; Ascomycota; Lecanoromycetes; Peltigerales; Collemataceae. The record is from RNAcentral.